GACGUAGGGCGCGAGCGUUGUCCGGAUUUAUUGGGCGUAAAGAGCUCGUAGGCGGCUUGUUGCGUCAGCUGUGAAAACCCGCAGCUCAACUGUGGGCUUGCAGCUGAUACGGGCAGGCUUGAGUUCGGUAGGGGAGACUGGAAUUCCUGGUGUAGCGGUGAAAUGCGCAGAUAUCAGGAAGAACACCCGUGGCGAAGGCGGCUCUCUGGUACGUGACUGACGCUGAGACGCGAAAGCGUGGGGAGCGAACAGG
Molecule: ribosomal RNA, 253 nt
Filed under: uncultured bacterium
Lineage: Bacteria
Description: partial 16S ribosomal RNA
Rfam family: Bacterial small subunit ribosomal RNA
Source: RNAcentral